RNAcentral lists this ribosomal RNA (468 nucleotides) under uncultured bacterium. RNAcentral describes it as "partial 16S ribosomal RNA". It matches the Rfam family "Bacterial small subunit ribosomal RNA", at positions 35 to 507 of the family's 1533-position model. The record is from RNAcentral.
GAAGACAGCUGGCGGCGUGCUUAACACAUGCAAGUCGAACGGAAAGGCCCUGCUUUUGUGGGGUGCUCGAGUGGCGAACGGGUGAGUAACACGUGAGUAACCUGCCCUUGACUUUGGGAUAACUUCAGGAAACUGGGGCUAAUACCGGAUAGGAGCUCCUGCUGCAUGGUGGGGGUUGGAAAGUUUCGGCGGUUGGGGAUGGACUCGCGGCUUAUCAGCUUGUUGGUGGGGUAGUGGCUUACCAAGGCUUUGACGGGUAGCCGGCCUGAGAGGGUGACCGGCCACAUUGGGACUGAGAUACGGCCCAGACUCCUACGGGAGGCAGCAGUGGGGAAUAUUGCACAAUGGGCGGAAGCCUGAUGCAGCAACGCCGCGUGCGGGAUGACGGCCUUCGGGUUGUAAACCGCUUUCGCCUGUGACGAAGCGUGAGUGACGGUAAUGGGUAAAGAAGCACCGGCUAACUACGUG